CCACAAAAUGUUAGUAUUGCAGGUGU
RNAcentral lists this non-coding RNA (26 nucleotides) under Homo sapiens (human). The record is from RNAcentral. Lineage: Eukaryota; Metazoa; Chordata; Mammalia; Primates; Hominidae.